This 322-nucleotide ribosomal RNA is filed under the name Scolecobasidium sp. SW258. Its description in RNAcentral is "LSU rRNA". It matches the Rfam family "Eukaryotic large subunit ribosomal RNA", at positions 331 to 670 of the family's 3401-position model. Lineage: Eukaryota; Fungi; Ascomycota; Dothideomycetes; Venturiales; Sympoventuriaceae. The record is from RNAcentral.
AGACCGAUAGCGAACAAGUAGAGUGAUCGAAAGAUGAAAAGCACUUUGAAAAGAGAGUCAAACAGUACGUGAAAUUGUUGAAAGGGAAGCGCAUGGGGGCAGACUUGGACGCGGGGUUCAGCGUUUCUAUUGGAGCGUGUACUUCCCCGCGUGCAGGCCAGCAUCGGUUCCGGGGGCCGGACAAAGACGUUGGGAAUGUGGCUCCCCUCGGGGAGUGUUAUAGCCCGACGUGCAAUGCGGCCACCUGGGACCGAGGACCGCGCCUUGUGCAAGGAUGCUGGCGUAAUGGCCUCAUGCGGCCCGUCUUGAAACACGGACCAAG